ACCGCGAUUAGCUCAGCUGGUAGAGCAUCUGCCCGGUAUGCGAGGGUCGCCGGUUUCGAUUCCGGCUCGCGGCG
This 74-nucleotide transfer RNA is filed under the name Fasciola gigantica. RNAcentral describes it as "tRNA-Thr". It matches the Rfam family "tRNA". Rfam says of the family: Transfer RNA (tRNA) molecules are approximately 80 nucleotides in length. Lineage: Eukaryota; Metazoa; Platyhelminthes; Trematoda; Plagiorchiida; Fasciolidae. The record is from RNAcentral.